GGAGACCAACUGUAGCCAUGGAAGCUGAGGUGUGGAGUAGUGAAAGGAGGCAAUCCUGGCAUGCAUGGAAGUCCCCUUUCCCAUAAGGUUUAGUCCAGGGUAUUGGCAGUGCUUCAUAUAAGGUUCCCUGAUGAAGCUGUGUCUACUGUUCCUAUGAGGUGUCACCUUCCAAGCAGAAAGUGUUCCAUCAGCAUACACUAUAAUACAGUCAGUAGCUUUGGGCAGCAUGGAGAGGAACACCUAGGUAGAGGGACCUCAGGCCAGAUGACUGCUUCUGUCCUUCCCCUUCCAGUUUUCUUCAUGACUCAUGACUUGUCAGCGCCCCCCCCCCCUGCUCAAACAUGGUGAAUGGAUGGUAGUAGUGCAGGCAAUACCACAACAAAUGGAGGUCCCACUGAGAUCCGAGAAAGAAGGGAAAAGCUGAUGGAUAUUCUUGGAAGGCUCUCAGUAAUUUAAAGAAAAAAGAAAAAGGUAAGAGGGAAUUGUCAUGGGUGCAAAUAGGGCACCACUGUGGUUAAGAAAGGGCAAGACAGCUAAAGAGUUUAAAUAAAAAAGGAAAUCUUCCCAAUAUAGAAGAGGGAAGGAAAGGAAAUUUCCCAUUAGAAAAUCGAGAAAAAAAUUUAAUCAAGAAAAAAGGA
Peromyscus maniculatus bairdii (prairie deer mouse) is the source of this 638-nucleotide non-coding RNA. The record is from RefSeq and is a predicted model, not a curated record. Lineage: Eukaryota; Metazoa; Chordata; Mammalia; Rodentia; Cricetidae.